RNAcentral lists this ribosomal RNA (440 nucleotides) under uncultured bacterium. RNAcentral's name for it is "partial 16S ribosomal RNA". It matches the Rfam family "Bacterial small subunit ribosomal RNA", at positions 338 to 795 of the family's 1533-position model. The record is from RNAcentral.
CCUACGGGUGGCAGCAGUGGGGAAUAUUGCACAAUGGGGGGAACCCUGAUGCAGCAACGCCGCGUGGGUGAAGAAGUACUUCGGUAUGUAAAGCCCUGUCAGCAGGGAAGAAAAUGACGGUACCUGACCAAGCAGCCCCGUCUAACUACGUGCCAGCAGGCGCGGUAAUACGUAGGGAGCCAGCGUUAUCCGGAUUUUCUGGGGGUAAAGGGAGGCGAGACGGCAAGGAAGGUGUGGAGGGAAAGCCCGUGGCUCAAACACGGGACUGGCUUGGAAACUGUGUGGCGGGAGUGCAGGAGGGGUAAGCGGAAUGCGCGGUGUAGCGGUGAAAUGCGUAGAUAUUAGGAGGAACACCGGUGGCGAAGGCGGCUUACCGGACUGUAACUGACGUUGAGGCACGAAGGCGUGGGGAGCGAACAGGAUUAGAUACCCCAGUAGUC